AGCUCAGCUGGGAGAGCGCGUGCUUUGCAAGCAUGAGGUCGUCGGUUCGAUCCCGUCUGGCUCCACCAGAUGGAAU
RNAcentral lists this transfer RNA (76 nucleotides) under Bradyrhizobium elkanii. Its description in RNAcentral is "tRNA-Ala". The stretch from base 1 to 65 matches the Rfam family "tRNA", at positions 9 to 71 of the family's 71-position model. Rfam says of the family: Transfer RNA (tRNA) molecules are approximately 80 nucleotides in length. Their secondary structure includes four short double-helical elements and three loops (D, anti-codon, and T loops). The record is from RNAcentral. Lineage: Bacteria; Pseudomonadati; Pseudomonadota; Alphaproteobacteria; Hyphomicrobiales; Nitrobacteraceae.